GUAAAGGUUUCGACAGGGGUCAUGCAGGUGGAGAAGCUACCCGACGCCGAUCGUCAAACGGCACAAUUAAAAAUAAACGCUAACGAUAGAGUAGCACUGGCGGCUUAAUUGCCACCCGUCGUCUGGAGGACACCCGCAUCCUGCAGCUCCGGCGUCAUGAAAGCGGGAAACGACACGGGGUAAGCUUUGCCCCCGCGGGCGUAUCAUGAAGCUACUAAAGCCGAUGGAUUGACUGUUUUCCAUCGGCGGAGGGAAUGGGAGUGAUCCGGAAAAACCGUCUGUGGUAGGAGAAGGACAUUGAAUUGGCUUUUGGACAGGGGUUCGAUUCCCCUC
RNAcentral lists this transfer-messenger RNA (333 nucleotides) under bovine gut metagenome. It matches the Rfam family "transfer-messenger RNA". From Rfam's summary of the family: Bacterial tmRNA, also known as 10Sa RNA or SsrA, is named for its dual tRNA and mRNA-like properties. Its role is to liberate the mRNA from a stalled ribosome. To accomplish this part of the tmRNA is used as a reading frame that ends in a translation stop signal. The record is from RNAcentral.